Homo sapiens (human) is the source of this 840-nucleotide long non-coding RNA. NCBI's taxonomy places the organism in Eukaryota, Metazoa, Chordata, Mammalia, Primates, Hominidae. The record is from Ensembl.
ACCAGUCACCAUGGCAGGGAUUCAAUAGCCCACUGUGCCACAGAGGGCAUGCCUUGGAUGUAGAGAGUGAAGACUUUCCACAACUUGUGAAUGAGCCCUCUGUGAGUUUAGCCAAAACAUUCAUGUCAAAGAAAUGGAAAUCUCAAAUAAAACCCAUCGCAGGCCAAGCUCAGGAGGGCUGGCUAGCCAACAAAUCCUGAACAAGGGGGUUCAAGGGAAAAGGAAAACAUGUGUUUCAUAGCAGGGUGAUGGUUGGGGCAAGAAGGCAUCUGCAGCCUGGGUCACUGGUAACCUGUCGUAGUGACUGAGCUGACACCAAGCCUUGCUCUGAAGCAGUUCAGAGACUGGAGAUGGGCAGUGUCACCCAUAUCAGGAAUAUUCCCUCAGAUACAGUCAGAAGAAUAUACAAGGAUAAAUGUACAAGGAACAGGAGGCCUGACGUCAAAAGCUCCCCCUCGUGACCAAAUCGACUGGGACUUGUUGGAUCCAAGAUGGCAGCUCACUUGACUUCUGAAGAACCUGGAACUUCAUUAUAAUCAAAUUUCCGUGCUAAAUGACAUUCCCGCGAGCACCAUGACAGUUGACAAUCACCAUGACAAUGACAGAAGAAACCAUAAAAUGACAAAAAGGAAGGCGGCAACUCUGGUUCUGAGUUUUCUGCCCAUUUCCAGAAAAGAUGUGAAUAUUCUUCUCUUUGCUUUUAAUGCCUGACCCUGUCAUUAGAGAUAUUCUGUAUCUGUGACUUCCUGGUUUUCAUAAGCUGAGAAGGUGAUUUGUGAGCCAAUCUCCUGGUUCUCAAUUUCAUGGCCAUUGAAUGAAGCUGGUACUGCUUGAUGCUCA